GCUUACGGCAUACACCCUGAACACGCCCGAUCUCUGGAAGCUAAGCAGGGUCGGGCCUGGUUAGUACUUGGAUGGGAGACCGCCUGGGAAUACCAGGUGCUGUAAGUU
This 108-nucleotide ribosomal RNA is filed under the name Labrus bergylta (ballan wrasse). Lineage: Eukaryota; Metazoa; Chordata; Actinopteri; Labriformes; Labridae. The record is from RNAcentral.